UCACGCGAAAUUUCCAUUUUGCCAAUUUCGACUCCUCAGCGAACUUUUCAAGAUUCCCAGAGAUCCGUUCGUCGGAUUUUCGAUCGGAUCACGCCAGCGCGUUCAGCACGACUGGGACAUCGAAUCUACCAUUUCGUUCAUCCGAUUCGGUCGUCGAUUUGCGACAAAACUAAACCUCUCCAAUCUCCAAAAACCACACCUAUACAUAUAAAUCCAAUACAACUCUUUUUCUCGAAAACCGUGCAUCAGAACCCAAAUCUGUCAGUGCCAUUGGGUCCAGAAUAGUCGAACUGUCGAA
RNAcentral lists this long non-coding RNA (298 nucleotides) under Ananas comosus (pineapple). RNAcentral's name for it is "long non-coding RNA (ACOM_LNC001177)". The record is from RNAcentral. Lineage: Eukaryota; Viridiplantae; Streptophyta; Magnoliopsida; Poales; Bromeliaceae.